Molecule: non-coding RNA, 134 nt
Organism: Triticum aestivum (bread wheat)
Lineage: Eukaryota; Viridiplantae; Streptophyta; Magnoliopsida; Poales; Poaceae
Source: Rfam
UAUAUAUUACCUUCGUCCGAAAAUAUUUGUCAUCAAAAUGGAUAAAAAGAGAUGUAUCUAGAACUAAAAUACGUCUAGAUACAUCCUCUUUUUCUAUUUUGAUGACAAGUAUUUUCGGACAGAGGAAGUAUAAA